GACGAACGCUGGCGGCGUGCUUAACACAUGCAAGUCGAACGGAAAGGCCCUGCUUGCAGGGUACUCGAGUGGCGAACGGGUGAGUAACACGUGGGUGAUCUGCCCUGCACUUCGGGAUAAGCCUGGGAAACUGGGUCUAAUACCGGAUAGGAGCCAUUUUUAGUGUGAUGGUUGGAAAGUUUUUUCGGUGUAGGAUGAGCUCGCGGCCUAUCAGCUUGUUGGUGGGGUAAUGGCCUACCAAGGCGGCGACGGGUAGCCGGCCUGAGAGGGUGGACGGCCACAUUGGGACUGAGAUACGGCCCAGACUCCUACGGGAGGCAGCAGUGGGGAAUAUUGCACAAGGGGCGCAAGCCUGAUGCAGCGACGCCGCGUGGGAGAUGACGGCCUUCGGGUUGUAAACUCCUUUCGCUAGGGACGAAGCUUUUUGUGACGGUACCUAGAGAAGAAGCACCGGCUAACUACGUG
This 465-nucleotide ribosomal RNA is filed under the name uncultured bacterium. Its description in RNAcentral is "partial 16S ribosomal RNA". It matches the Rfam family "Bacterial small subunit ribosomal RNA", at positions 28 to 507 of the family's 1533-position model. The record is from RNAcentral.